Molecule: non-coding RNA, 72 nt
Organism: Potamilus streckersoni
Lineage: Eukaryota; Metazoa; Mollusca; Bivalvia; Unionida; Unionidae
Source: the annotation of a GenBank genome assembly
GCUUUGGUAGCCUAGUGGUUAAAGCGUCUGCCUCGGAUGUGGGAGGUCACAGGUUCCAACCCUGGCAGGGUU